This 233-nucleotide ribosomal RNA is filed under the name uncultured bacterium. RNAcentral's name for it is "partial 16S ribosomal RNA". It matches the Rfam family "Bacterial small subunit ribosomal RNA", at positions 100 to 334 of the family's 1533-position model. The record is from RNAcentral.
CGGGACGGGUGAGUAAUGUCUGGGAAACUGCCUGAUGGAGGGGGGUAACUACUGGAAACGGUAGCUAAUACCGCAUAACGUCGCAAGACCAAAGAGGGGGACCUUCGGGCCUCUUGCCAUCGGAUGUGCCCAGAUGGGAUUGGCUAGUAGGUGGGGUAACGGCUCACCUAGGCGACGAUCCCUAGCUGGUCUGAGAGGAUGACCAGCCACACUGGAACUGAGACACGGUCCAG